Pollicipes pollicipes is the source of this 559-nucleotide long non-coding RNA. RefSeq lists it as uncharacterized. The record is from RefSeq and is a predicted model, not a curated record. The transcript is spliced from 4 exons. Lineage: Eukaryota; Metazoa; Arthropoda; Thecostraca; Pollicipedomorpha; Pollicipedidae.
ACGAGAAGACGGGGCUUACGUUGGAUGCAAGUUAUUGUCGUCCGGCAAGGUUUUAAAAAGUGAUGUUAUAGCUACUGGACAUUGAAGCGAUUGAAGACCAGAAAGCCUUAGUGCGACCGGCUUGAUUCAGGUGGCCUAUAUGUAUACCAUUGGGAGAGUUAAAGAAGUUUAGUCCUCUAAAAGAAGUCCUCCGGAAAGUUUACUGCAACAAAGAUUACUCCCCGAGAGCGACACUCGUUAAGGAUGCGAGUAUUUGAAGUUCCGCUUUCAAGCAUUGGACGGCCUGCAAAUUACCAUUGGAGCCAAACUGUAUACAUUUUCUAGAUGAUCUUAAAUACGGAGCGGUAUUCUAAAGAUGUAGUUGUGCAGUGUGUAGUUCGUAGAUUACGAAACAACGGAGCGAGAAUACAGUUGGCGUUCCGUUUUGGGUCAGUUAUUUUGUUUUCCUUUUUCCAUGUUUUAAAGUCGCUGUGCUUUAUGCUCAGGAUCGAAGCAAAAUGUACAGGAGUAGGCUGCGAUGUGAUGCGUGUUGUAUAAAACCAAUAAACCAAAAAUGGCA